Long non-coding RNA from Xenopus tropicalis (tropical clawed frog), 591 nucleotides. RefSeq lists it as uncharacterized. The record is from RefSeq and is a predicted model, not a curated record. The transcript has 4 exons. Lineage: Eukaryota; Metazoa; Chordata; Amphibia; Anura; Pipidae.
CAGAUAUUACUGACGUUCUUCAUUGGGUUCUCAGUUCUUCAAACAGCUGACAGCAUGUGGCAGUUGGAAGAAGAAUCAAACAGAUCCCCUUUUCCUUCCAUUCCUAUAAAGUUAUGCAGAGUCUCACAGCUCACCAUAGGCCUAAGCAGAUCAUAAGGAGCUACCCUGGACAGUUUGGGAUCCCAUCCAGUAUGUUAAGAACCACCAAUGAAGUGCGUCCCUCAAGGGCAAAGUUGGAACAGAUGGGCACGUAUGAGCCAACCUUUAGAAUGAUGAUCCAGCCUUGUACGGAAGGUCAUUGACUGGCUGCAGAGAUCCGUCAGAUGCAGGUCUGAUAUAACGUUAACCAGUGGAUAUCAGUCAGGCUGUAAUGGAGAUAUAGACCAUGAAUAUUAAUGGCGAAUAAUGAACUUUACCUUUACCCAUGGCUUUCCAACCCCUAUCUAUUUAAACUACCAUAGCUGGGAUCCAUUCCAACCCCAUGCUUGAUUCUUAACAAGAUCAUAUCGGCUGUUGAUAUGUUCCCGAGCAGGCUCUGCAUUGUAUUGUGAGUGGGUGGAUAAGUGACCAUUAAAGGGGUUGCUUACAACA